Molecule: ribosomal RNA, 253 nt
Filed under: uncultured bacterium
Lineage: Bacteria
Description: partial 16S ribosomal RNA
Rfam family: Bacterial small subunit ribosomal RNA
Source: RNAcentral
UACAGAGGGUGCGAGCGUUGUCCGGAAUCACUGGGCGUAAAGGGCGCGUAGGUGGCGCCCCAAGUCGAUGGUGAAAGCUCGCCGCUCAACGGCGAGUCGGCCACCGAUACUGGGGGGCUUGAGCACUGUAGAGGCAGAUGGAAUUCCGGGUGUAGCGGUGGAAUGCGUAGAGAUCCGGAAGAACACCGGUGGCGAAGGCGGGUCUCUGGGCCGAUACUGACGCUGAGGAGCGAAAGCGUGGGGAGCGAACAGG